This 222-nucleotide ribosomal RNA is filed under the name uncultured bacterium. RNAcentral describes it as "partial 16S ribosomal RNA". It matches the Rfam family "Bacterial small subunit ribosomal RNA", at positions 524 to 742 of the family's 1533-position model. The record is from RNAcentral.
UACGUAGGGGGCAAGCGUUGUCCGGAUUUAUUGGGCGUAAAGAGCGUGUAGGCGGUCAGGUAGGUCCGUUGUGAAAACUCGAGGCUCAACCUCGAGACGCCGAUGGAAACCAUCUGACUAGAGUCCGGAAGAGGAGAGUGGAAUUCCUGGUGGUAGCGGUGAAAUGCGUAGAGUAUCGAGAGGAACACCUGCGGCGAAGGCGGGUUGCGUGGGCUGAUACUG